UACGGGGGGGGCAAGCGUUGUUCGGAAUUACUGGGCGUAAAGGGCUCGUAGGUGGCCAACUAAGUCAGACGUGAAAUCCCUCGGCUUAACCGGGGAACUGCGUCUGAUACUGGAUGGCUUGAGUUUGGGAGAGGGAUGCGGAAUUCCAGGUGUAGCGGUGAAAUGCGUAGAUAUCGGGAGGAACACCAAUGGCGAAGGCGGCUUCCUGGCCUGUUCUUGACGCUGAGGCGCGAAAGCUAGGGUAGCAAACGGG
RNAcentral lists this ribosomal RNA (253 nucleotides) under uncultured bacterium. RNAcentral describes it as "partial 16S ribosomal RNA". It matches the Rfam family "Bacterial small subunit ribosomal RNA", at positions 524 to 776 of the family's 1533-position model. The record is from RNAcentral.